Felis catus (domestic cat) is the source of this 3254-nucleotide long non-coding RNA. RefSeq lists it as uncharacterized. The record is from RefSeq and is a predicted model, not a curated record. The transcript has 3 exons. Lineage: Eukaryota; Metazoa; Chordata; Mammalia; Carnivora; Felidae.
UCUCUCUCUCUCUAAAAUAAGUGAACAUUAAAAAAGUUUUUUAAGUGAGAUCAGUAACUAGCUUUCUGCUGAAUGUGUCACACUUUAACUCACCUUUGACCUUGAAAAACAUCUUACAAUUUCCCAUUUAAAGAGAAAUUGACAGAAGUGGGGGAACACCACCAGGCCAGGAGCGAAGAACCCACGCUAGGGUUUGGUUCUCAUGGUUCCUUGCCAGGAGGCCUUAGAAAAUCACUUUCCCUCUCUGGGCCUCUGCUUCCUCAUCUCUGCCAUGAGCAGAAGUUCCUAGCCACCCUCCACCCAAGAGUCUAUGGUUUGUCCCGAAACCUUUUGCCCGAGCCCAGUAAAAAUCCCUAGCACUUAAAAGGGGAAAUUUAAUCGGAAUGUUUUCUGAUUCAUGUGCACUUAACCAAACAGAACCCUACUUUCUAAGAGCUCUUUGAUGUGUAAGCUGCCUUAAGGAGAUUUUUUUAAAGGGGCAUUUUAAAAGUUUUUUUUCUUAGAAACAGGAAAUCAGGUUUUGGCAAGAGGGAAAGAAAUCCGAACACACCAAGGUCUGGGGGUGGGAGCAGUGGGUUUGUUUUCAGUGGGCAGGAUCCGAGAGGGUAACCGAGAUUGGCAAGAGGCGGCCUUGGCCACCCUGGAGCAGCCUCCCCAGGGUCUGCCAACUCGAAAGGCUGUGUGAACGUCUGGGGCGGUGGCAAGGGAGCCGUCCCUGAAGCUUUUCCCAAGCCUCUCAGGACCAGCUGAAUGUUUACUUUUACCCUCAGCCCCACAUCGUACUUCUUUCUUGCGAUGUUUGGCAAUCCCAAUUGCCAAAUACCUUGAAUGAUCUCUAAGGAAAAUAUUUUUCGCUAGCUGAUCAGUUUUCUCUUCCAGAAAAAAAAAAGAAGGAGAAAAAAAAACAACAACCAGAUGAGCACACAGAUGAGCGUGUGUGGCGGAGAGAGAGUUCCAGUUACCCCUUUGAAAGACUCCUAAAAGCUCCGUACGCGGAGUGACUGUUGUCCUUUCAGUCCCUUGACAUUAGCCAAGGCCAUGAAGUUUGAUUUGGCCGAUAAAACAUGAGUAGAACUGACCUAAGUGAUUUCUAGGUGAAAAUGUUUCAGAACUAGAGAUCCGUUCUCCGUGGUUCGUCUUACGAAAGAAUGCAUCGAAAUGGAGGUGCCGUAAAAUUGAAGAAUCCUUGAAUGUGAACGGACCCAGAAGAAAGCUGUCCUACCUUUACCUGUAGCUACUCCCCCCUCACUGGAAAGAACAUGGAUUUGACAUCAGAAGACUUCCUCAACUUUCACGUUUAGAGAGAGGAGACAAACACCAUUCAUCAUACACGGUGGUUCUGCUUCGCUCAUAGGUCAACAUAAAAUAUUAUAUCAUUUCUUCCCUCCAACCCAACACUUCAUCCAUGUCGGAAUACUUGCGUUUGCCUCCAUGGGCCCUCCAUUUCUAGACAAGGAAUCUCUCCUGAAUUCUUUAUUUUAAACUUGAGUUUUUGAUAAAUUACAAUAUCAUAGGGGGCAUCACGGGGACCCAGUCAGAAAGCAGCCUGGAGUUUAUAUAUGUCAAGGAAGCCGAUCUUGGCUUGUCAACAGAGAAAAGUAAGCAUUCCUGAAAGUCAGAAAGAUGGAUGGAUUAAGAAUAUGAAUUAGGAAGAUAAAUGCUCUAAAACCAAGCUCUCUUACAUGUCUAAAGUGUUAAUAUUUAAUGAAAAGUGAACACUUUGUUGGCUUUUAUUUUCAAGACUUCAGUGGUGUUCUGAAAUUAGUCAUUUGUUUGAAAAUAUUUUCGAAGCCUCUACCAUGUGCCCGGGAAUAAUUUAGGCACUGGGGAUAAAGCAUUGAACAAAGUAGAAAAGAACCCUUCAAGAAUGGAUUUUUUUUGGGGGGGGGGAAGGAGAGCUAGAUAGUAAAUGUGUAGUAAUAAAUAAGCUACUUUCAGAUAGUGAUAAAUGUUUUGAAGGAAGGAAGCCCUUCAUGGCAGAGGGGAACGGUGCUAUGGGACCUAUUUGAUCUGAGUCAUGCAGAAGACCUCACUCAGGAGUGAUGGGUGUGCUGAGCACUGAAGACGAGAGCCAGUCAAGGGAAUGUCUUGGGGAAAAGGGGAAAAACAAGUGAAAGUCUUUGGAGUGUGAAAGGGCUUGAUGGGAGGAAGAGGGAGGCCAUUGUGACUGAGAGAAUGUAUGAGAUAAGGUGAGAAAGGUUACCCACGGGCCAGGAUAGGUAGAGUCUGUGGACCACAAUUAGGCGUUUGAAUAAAAUUCAAAUGGCAGUGUGAGGAGAUGAAACCACUGGGGGACUUUUCUUUCCUUUUUUUUUUUUAAAAAAAAAUUGAAGUAUAACUGCCAUAACAAUAAAUUGCAUGUAUGUAAAAAGUACACUUUUGUAAGUUUCGACAUAUGUGUGUAUCCAUCGGACCUUUUCACAAUCAAGGUAGCAGAUGCAUCCAUUACCACCCAAAGUUUCCUCAUCCUCUUUUGUAAUCCCUUCCUCUUGGCUCUCCUUUCUUUAAAUCUUUACCAUCCUAGCCUUCCACUGAUCUGCUUUCUGUCACUAUAAAUUUGUUUACUUUUACAGGAAUUCUACAUAAAGGCAAUUAUAUAGUAUACUCUUUUUAAAAAUCUACCUCAUUUUACCCAGCAUUGUUGUUCUGGGAUUCAUCCAUGUUUUAUCACUUUUUGUUCCCUUUUAUCACUGAGUAGUAUUCCGUUGUCUGGAUAGACCACAGCUUUUAUAUUCAAUGACCUCUUUGCUGAUAAACGUUUGGGAUUUUUCCAAUUUUCGGUUAUUGCAAAGAAAACUGCUAGGAACAUUCAUGUACAAGUCUUUGUAUGGAUUAAGUUUUGUUUUUCUCUCUCUUGUGUAAAUACCUAGGAGUAGCUUGGCUGAAUCAUAGGGUAGCUGUACGUUCAGCAUUUUAAGAAGCUACCAAAUUGUUUUCCAAAGUGGUUAUAGCAUUUACAUUUCCACCAUCAGUGUGUUAAAGUUUCAGUUUUUCAAAUCUUGGUCAACAUUUGGUACAGCCAGUCUUUUUCAUUUUACCCAUUCUAAUCAAUGUGUAGUCAUAUCUUACUGGUUUUUUUUUUUUCAUUUGCAUUUCCCCAUGGCUGUGAUGUCGAGAAUCUCUUCAUGUGCUUAUUUGACAUACAUCCAUUUUCUUAUGUGCAGUGCAUGUUCAAACCUUCUCUUGAUUAAAAAAAAUUUUUUUUAACGUUUAUUUAUUUUUGGGAGAGGGAGACAGACAGACAGAGCAUGAGU